CUCUCAAACCCUUCCUCAUGUCCCGAUCUGCCGCGCCUCGCCCUGGAUCGCCCCGCUCCGCCGCUCCCCUGCGCGCCCAGCUUCGUCGCUCCCCUGCGCGCCUUGCUCCACCGCUCCCCUGACCGCCCAGCUCCGCCCCUCCCCUGCGCGCCUCACUCCGUUGCUCCCCUGCCCGCCCAACUCCGCUGCUCCCCUGCUCGCCCAGCUCUGCCGCUACCCUGCUCGCCCCGCUCCGCCACUCCCCUUCUGUUUCUCCUUCUCCACUGCAUCCCUGACCUAGUCACACCAUGGUCGCGACGGGCGCGGUGGCCCUGGCCACGCCGGCUGGGUGACGGCUUGGUGUUGCUCGUGGUGACUCCAUCUGCGAUGCCCUCGAAUUGUGCUAACUGUGCCGCCCUUGACCGUGGUGGCGGUGCCGCCCUUGCUGAUUGGACGAUGACUGAAUCUGCCUAUUGUUGUACGCCGCUGCUCCUGUCCAAAAGAAACUGACUGGUGUCGAGUGUUGUUUUCUUGAAGAAAAUUUCCCUGUUCAUGGUGUCGAAACAACAAUUGUGUCAAAGCAACAUAUAACAAAGACAUUGCUCAGCUGGAAUCAAGUAGAAUCACACGUUACAGGAUGAAAAUUGGAAGAAAAGCAUCUCGACUUGCUGUAGCCAUCAAACCAGCGCCUGCUGCUCGAAACACUAGUGCUGCUAAUGGCACUUACGAUGGGUACGUAAAAGAAGUUUCAGAUCUUCCUCCUGCUAUUCCAAAUAAUGAAGACCUUCCAAUUAUUCGACCCUUUGGCAAGACGCAUUGGAAGGACAUUUCCGUUGUUCGAAAGGGUAGGCGACUAGCAAGUGUAUUAACAUGCCUUUUGAAAAGUAACCAUCCAGGUAUUUUGGAUUAUGAUGGUGUGAAGGUUAUUGCAACGGAGUGGGAGCAUUAUCAUGCGGUGAAGGACACAAAUGGUCAUUCUGUUACAGACAAAAAUGGAGAUGCUUUUUGGCUAAGGUACAAGUAUGAAGAUGCAUACUUAGAGAAGACAAAGCAACAUGUUCGAAGAUGUUGCAGGUCACUUUUGCCAAGUAUAUUUUACUAUGCAAGAAUCCAAGCCAUAAUUGAUCAUUUUUGGAAAACUGAGAACACUAGCAUGAGUGACAAGCUUGCUGGGCAAUACUGUUUGGAUAGAGCUCAAUAUUUGGCACAAAGGCAAGGUUGGUUUGGAAAAGAAGCUUGGAUUGUUGUAGUUGAUGAGUAGUGCAGUGAAGAGUGGAUUGCAAAAUCCAAGAAAUACCGUGCCAAUCAUUUCAGCUCAAAGUUCAAGCCUCUCAAAGGUGGUUCCAACUCCAUGACUACUAUAAGUCAAAAAAUGUCCGAGGAAACGGGCGAAGAAGUUAACCAGAUUCAGGCCUGGGUGCAUACACACAGAGCAGUGGACAAGAGCACACCUUUAAUUCUCAACACACCAGAAGCAACUAAAUGUUUGGCGUUUUACAAAGAAAAGGCUAAAGAGUUAAAUGGACAGGACUAUGAUAUUCUAAAAAAUGAUGUUAGUUCUCAAGCACUUUAUGAUUGCUCUAAUGGGAAGCCACAUGGUACAUGGUUUCUCUUUAAUGGCAUUGUCAAUGACAUCGAGGUCAUUUCCGAGGUGAGAGCUAUUGGUACAUCUUCAGCAGCCUUGAAGCAUCAUCGAUCUAAAGAAAUUGAAGAUGUGCGUAGAAAGGAGUCUGAGAAGACUAAAAAAGUAGAGGCUUAUGCCAACAAUCUCUUGUCAUGGGGUGUUGGCAUGUACGAGCACUACAAUGGGAUACAUAAGUUUCUUCAGACUUUGGCAACUAACCAAGGUGUGCCUAUUAGAAAAUACCACCGCCGCCAGUUCCACCUCCUUCUCGUUCACUUUCUCCUCCUGGAUCUCCACAACGAUCUACUAUCUAAGUUCUAGAAAAUAGCAAAGAACCGCCAGCUUUGUGUGCCCAACAAGAAACAAAUCCCAGCUCUUUUCAUGAACAUGGUGUUGCCUCAAGUGUUCCUACUGCAAGUGUCCCCGCUGUAGACGAUGAUGGGAUGUUUGGGGGAUUUUCAGUCAAUCUAGAGCUGGCGCACUGAGCCUAUCACUAUUGAGCAGCCAGUUGGUUCCUUGAUGUUCUUGGAUGUAUAGUGCGUGGAGUACAUUUAGGUGCAUGUAUAGUUAACAUGCUGGUACAUGUUCUGCGAUGUAGGAAACUAUAGUUGACCUACAUCAGUCUGUACAUGCUAAUUGAGAUGCUGAAUCAAUUAGAUCUAGCAAACUCUAGCUAGCAAGCCAAUGUUUUGUCAAAGUGUGAUGGCUGGUGAUGGCUGGUGGAUGUCUUGGCAUCUACUGUAUGCAUGUGACAAGUGAUAUCUAGAUGUAUAUAGUAAUUAUUUAACAUUA
Molecule: long non-coding RNA, 2395 nt
Organism: Triticum dicoccoides
Lineage: Eukaryota; Viridiplantae; Streptophyta; Magnoliopsida; Poales; Poaceae
Exons: 10
Source: RefSeq, a predicted model, not a curated record